GACGAACGCUGGCGGCGUGCUUAAUACAUGCAAGUCGAACGGAAAGACCCUGCUUUUGUGGGUUUCACGUGUGGCGAACGCGUGAGUAAAACGUGUGUAACCCGCCCUUGUCUUUGUGAUAACAUUUGGAGACAGGGGCUCAUAUCGGGUAGGAGCUCCUGCUGCACGGGGGUGGAUGGUAAGUGUCGGUUGUGGUGGCUGGACUCGCGGCAUAUUAGCUUGAUGGUCGGGUAGUUGCUUACCAAGGUUUUGACGGGUAGCCCGCCUGAGAGGCUGACCGGCCUCAUUGGGACUAAGAGACGGCGCAGACUCCUACGGGAGGCAGCAGUGGGGAGUCUUGCACAAUGGGCGGACGUCUGAUGCAGCAACGCCGCGUGCGGAAUGACGGCUUUCUGGUUAUGAACCGAUGUGGACUGUACCGAAGCGUGAGUGACGGUAAUGGGUAAAAAAGCACCGGCUAACUACGUG
RNAcentral lists this ribosomal RNA (468 nucleotides) under uncultured bacterium. Its description in RNAcentral is "partial 16S ribosomal RNA". It matches the Rfam family "Bacterial small subunit ribosomal RNA", at positions 28 to 507 of the family's 1533-position model. The record is from RNAcentral.